UGGCUCUCGCAUCGAUGAAGAACGCAGCGAAAUGCGAUAAGUAAUGUGAAUUGCAGAAUUCAGUGAAUCAUCGAAUCUUUGAACGCACCUUGCGCCCCUCGGUAUUCCGAAGGGCAUGCCUGUUUGAGUGUCAUCGAACCCAUCGACCCGGAAAGCUUUCGCGCUCUCCGACGUUCGGACUUUGGAGUCGUGCGGGUCUCUCUCGAUCCGCUCCUCUCGAAAUGCAUCAGCGGAACGCGACGGCGGACCAGCGCGCGGCGUGAUAAUCAUCUGCGUCGCCGCUUUCGGUCCCCAUGUCUUCCCCGCUCACAAUCGUCGCCUUGCGCGACAGACGCGAUGUCGAACUUUGACCUCAGAUCAGGUAGGAUUACCCGCUGA
Molecule: unclassified non-coding RNA, 378 nt
Filed under: uncultured fungus
Lineage: Eukaryota; Fungi
Description: partial contains 5.8S ribosomal RNA and internal transcribed spacer 2
Rfam family: 5.8S ribosomal RNA (bases 1-133)
Source: RNAcentral